Molecule: ribosomal RNA, 324 nt
Filed under: uncultured eukaryote
Lineage: Eukaryota
Description: partial 18S ribosomal RNA
Rfam family: Eukaryotic small subunit ribosomal RNA
Source: RNAcentral
CCCUUAGAUGUUCUGGGCUGCACGCGCGCUACACUGAUGCAUUCAACGAGUUUCUUCCUGGUCCGAGAGGAAUGGGUAACCUUUUGAAAGUGCAUCGUGAUAGGGAUAGACUAUUGCAAUUAUUGGUCUUCAACGAGGAAUUCCUAGUAGACGUAGUUCAUCAGACUGCAUCGAUUACGUCCCUGCCCUUUGUACACACCGCCCGUCGCUCCUACCGAUUGAAUGCUCAGGUGAGCCAUUCGGACCUUCAUCAUGCCGGUUUCCGGUUUUGAUGAGGGAAAGUCUUGCGAACCUUAUCAUUUAGAGGAAGGAGAAGUCGUAACA